RNAcentral lists this long non-coding RNA (209 nucleotides) under Elaeis guineensis (African oil palm). RNAcentral's name for it is "long non-coding RNA (EGUI_LNC040444)". The record is from RNAcentral. Lineage: Eukaryota; Viridiplantae; Streptophyta; Magnoliopsida; Arecales; Arecaceae.
CAGACCUGGCCAACUACAACCACCCCCCCUUGGUCUAGCUGAGCAAGGAUUGAGAAUAACGACAACUGCUUGCAAGGAUACCACCACAAGGCAACCUUGGGCAGAAUCUUAUUGGUGCAUUCCCAAGCACACAAAUGAUCGGAUAAAAGAUGACAUUACCAAUUUGUCAAAGACAAAGUCCAUCAUUGAGAACUAAUUAAGAACAGACC